UGCAGUCGGACGACAGGCGAGGAAUCCGCAAGGAGGAAUUGUGCUGAGUGGCGAACGGGUGAGUAAGACAUGGGGACGUACCCUCAAGAGGGGGAUAGCAUUCCGAAAGGGAUGGUAAUACCCCGUAAGCUCGAGAGAGGGAAGGUGCAACAGCACCGCUUGAGGAGCGACUCAUGGCCCAUCAGUUAGUUGGUGAGGUAAAGGCCCACCAAGGCUAUGACGGGUAGCUGGUCUGAGAGGAUGGUCAGCCACACUGGGACUGAGACACGGCCCAGACUCCUACGGGAGGCAGCAGUGGGGAAUUUUUCCCAAUGGGCGAAAGCCUGAGGGAGCGACGCCGCGUGGAGGAAGGAGUCUUUCGAGAUGUAAACUCCUGUUGUAAGGGAGCAAGGGUAUAUGUAGUGGAAAGGCAUAUACUCGGAUAGUACCUUACGAGGAAGCCCCGGCUAACUACGUGCCAGCAGCCGCGGUAAUACGUAGGGGGCGAGCGUUGUCCGGAGUUACUGGGCGUAAAGGGUGCGUAGGUGGCCGAUAAAGUCAAUUGUGAAAUUCCACGGCUCAACUGUGGGAGUGCGGUUGAAACUAAUCGGCUUGAGGUCAGGUCAGGAAGAUGGAAUUGUCAGUGUAGGGGUGAAAUCCGUAGAUAUUGGCAAGAACGCCGGUGGUGAAGACGGUCUUCUGGGCUGAUACUGACACUGAGGCACGAAAGCUAGGGGAGCGAACGGGAUUAGAUACCCCGGUAGUCCUAGCCGUAAACGAUGUUCACUGAGUAUGGGAGGCGUUAGCCAUCCGUGCUGAAGCAAACGCGUUAAGUGAACCGCCUGGGGAGUACGG
Molecule: ribosomal RNA, 834 nt
Filed under: uncultured bacterium
Lineage: Bacteria
Description: bacterial SSU rRNA
Rfam family: Bacterial small subunit ribosomal RNA
Source: RNAcentral